RNAcentral lists this ribosomal RNA (24 nucleotides) under Scenedesmus sp. IITRIND2. RNAcentral describes it as "partial 18S ribosomal RNA". The record is from RNAcentral. Lineage: Eukaryota; Viridiplantae; Chlorophyta; Chlorophyceae; Sphaeropleales; Scenedesmaceae.
GGGUGAACUGCGGAGGGAUCAUUG